This 406-nucleotide ribosomal RNA is filed under the name uncultured bacterium. RNAcentral's name for it is "partial 16S ribosomal RNA". It matches the Rfam family "Bacterial small subunit ribosomal RNA", at positions 30 to 526 of the family's 1533-position model. The record is from RNAcentral.
AUUGAACGCUGGCGGCAGGCCUAACACAUGCAAGUCGAACGAGUGGCGGACGGGUGAGUAAUGCUUGGGAAUCUAGCUUAUGGAGGGGGAUAACUACGGGAAACCGUAGCUAAUACCGCGUACCAUAGGAUGAGCCCAAGUGGGAUUAGGUAGUUGGUGAGGUAAAGGCUCACCAAGCCGACGAUCGCUAGCUGGUCUGAGAGGGUGACCAGCCACACUGGGACUGAGACACGGCCCAGACUCCUACGGGAGGCAGCAGUGGGGAAUAUUGCGCAAUGGGUGCAAGCCUGACGCAGCAAUGCCGCGUGAAUGAAGAAGGCCUUCGGGUUGUAAAGUACUUUCAGUCGGGAGGCGUUACCGACAGAAGAAGCAACGGCUAACUCCGUGCCAGCAGCCGCGGUAAUUC